RNAcentral lists this long non-coding RNA (1190 nucleotides) under Bemisia tabaci. Its description in RNAcentral is "lncRNA ENSSWEETPG001833". Lineage: Eukaryota; Metazoa; Arthropoda; Insecta; Hemiptera; Aleyrodidae. The record is from RNAcentral.
CCAAGCGAAGAUAUCAAUCAUAGCCCUACCUUCUAGAUUCAAAAAAUAUAGUAAACGAUCAUAUUUCAUCCUCCUAUUACAGUAUUCAAUAUCAGGACAAAUAUUUUACAAGAAAUACUACGUAUCGGUGUCGGUACAAGUGGAUUAGACUUACGCUCUUUCUCAUUCGCGCCAAAUACUUGAAUGAUACGGACAUCUGAAAAAGCUUCUGAUUGGUCAUUGCUCCAUUUUUGGCGCCGCUCUCCCUCUGAAAGCCCGCGCUUUUUCAUCUCAGUUGUUUAUGUUCCAACAUGUGAUAGAGGUUAGAAUAUUAGAAAUGCUGUUUUGAUUAAUUUAUGGUGUCUAUUAUUCAUUAUUCAGUGACUGCUGUGAUUUUGCAAUUAAAUUUUGCGCUUCCCAAGUUUCUAUAAAGAAUAAAAUGCUUAAUAGUUGGCUCAGUUUUCCGGUACGUUCAAGUUUGUUCAGUUUCCCUUGAGCUGGAUGUGUUUCAGGUUUCAUCCUGUGUUCAUGCGAAGACAUCUGAGAUUACCUAUCUGAUGAACCAGUAGAGCCUUUUUGAUGUUUGUCAAAUAAAAAUCUAAGAAAUCUUAUUAAGUAAGCCAUGAGCAUCCUUUAAAUCUGCAGAACUGUUAUUUGUGACCAUGGAUGAAGUUACUAAAGAGGAUAUCAAGUACCAGUUUCUUAAUGUCUUCGAAGAUUUACUAUUGGACUUGAAGAAUGCAAAAAAUGUCAGACCCGAAAUUGAAAAUGAUAACGACGACGACGUAAUAACUCUUGCUCCUGAGAUUAAGAAACCUGCCGUGGCCCCGGUUUACAAAACAAGAGGUCGCCCCAGAAAGAACGACUCCGUUGACUCCUUCCUUGAAUUGAAAGCAACCAGGGCCAAGAGAAAGCAGCCCUCAGGCCGUCAGACUGACAUAAGAGCAAGUUUCAACUCUAGUUUCGACUCCGUCAACAAUAAGGGGCUCAUCAACGUCGUUGCAGAUGUUCAUCGAGACUCCUCACAACCGAUCGAAGCUUCGACUCAUUUCAAGAAGAAAUCAGCUACAAGUGAUGAAAUAUUUGAUAGUUGUUGGACAAAAAAUCGAAAGAAACUGAAAUCAGUUGCAGUCAGGAAUCAGAUGACUAUUUCCAAGUCUCUAAAAAACCGCGCAAGUCUUAUCCAGGUGCAAAAUCAAGUACUGCGAUGA